RNAcentral lists this ribosomal RNA (667 nucleotides) under uncultured marine eukaryote. RNAcentral describes it as "SSU rRNA". It matches the Rfam family "Eukaryotic small subunit ribosomal RNA", at positions 617 to 1286 of the family's 1831-position model. The record is from RNAcentral.
GGUUAAAAAGCUCGUAGUCGGAUUUCUGUUGAGGAUGACCGGUCCGCUCUUUGAGCGCGUAUCUGGUUCAGCCUUGGCAUCCUCUUGGGGAACGCUACUGUGCUUGAUUGCAUGGGGCGGUAUUCAAGACUUUUGCUUUGAGGAAAUUAGAGUGUUCACUGCAAGCGUUAGCAAUUGAAUACAUUAGCAUGGAAUAAUAAUAUAGGACCUUGGUACUAUUUUGUUGGUUUCUAGAACUAAGGUAAUGAUUAAUAGGGACAAUUGGGGGCAUUCGUAUUAACGCGUCAGAGGUGGAAUUCUUAGAUUGCGUUACGACGAACUACUGCGAAAGCAUUUGCCAAGGAUGUUUUCAUUGAUCAAGAACGAAAGUAUGGGGAUCGAAGACGCUUAGAUACCGUCGUAGUCUAUACCAUAAACUAUGCCAACUAGAGAUUGGAGGUCGUUCUCUUUAUGACUCCUCCAGCACCUUAUGAGAAAUCAAAGUCUUUGGGUUCCGGGGGGAGUAUGGUCGCAAGGCUGAAACUUAAAGGAAUUGACGGAAGGGCACCACCAGGAGUGGAGCCUGCGGCUUAAUUUGACUCAACACGGGAAAACUUACCAGGUCCAGACAUAGUAAGGAUUGACAGAUUGAUAGCUCUUACUUGAUUCUAUGGGGUGGUGGUGCAUG